Molecule: long non-coding RNA, 1532 nt
Filed under: Triticum aestivum (bread wheat)
Lineage: Eukaryota; Viridiplantae; Streptophyta; Magnoliopsida; Poales; Poaceae
Description: long non-coding RNA (TAES_LNC003642)
Source: RNAcentral
GGAGAUCGUGUGUAGGGCGGCAACAGGGAGAACAAAAUGAAAGGACCAACAUGGCAAAUCGCAUGAGGCCCAAUGGGAGGGGCGAGCCACUUCUUAUCUCCCCACCUCUUCAUAUCAUAAUCGGUCGAUCGAGGAACACCCCAUGUGCUUCUCUUCCCUCGGUUGGUCUUUUGGGCAGUUCCGGCGCUCUUCCUCUCCCAGUAGCUCCACCCCCAAGUUGAGCCCAUAAGUCUUGUCGACCGGCAACUUUCUGACACAACCUGCUGCAGGUCCAUAAUCUCUCAUCAGAUUUCUACACACCUAGGUUCGGUCAUCGAUCAUAUUCAUAUCCUCGCAAAUUAUUAUUAUUGUUCCUUUUUUGUUCUUGUCGUGCUAGGACUAAAAUUGAUGUAUAACUAAUCAUCGGUUUUGCCCGGUUUAUAGAACAUAGAGAUAUUUAUUACAUAAAUCAUUGUCAUGUCUUCUAGAAUUAGGAAGUCAUAUAAUUAAGUGAAAUAUACCUAGGCGAUGCUUAAUGUCAAUUUGUAGGGUUCCAUCGUAAUUUCUCAUCAGAUUUCUACAUAUCUAGGGCAUACAUCAUAUUCAUAUCAUCAGAAAACUACUUUUUUCCUUAUCUUUUUUUGCUUUUUUUCUUGUCUUGCCAAAUUUUGUUAUUUUUUAGAGCAGAUUUACUAUCCUCAGUUGUCUGAAACAAAUUUUGGACCGGUCAGUUUUAGAUAGGAGAGAAGAACUCGCACCUAGCCAGCGUCAUGGGUGGAGGCUUAGCGAUUUGGGUGCGGGGUGGGGUGCCAGUGCGAAAAAGAAAGGGGUAUACAGGGAUGGUCAGGGCGGCGAUGGCACAACGAAGGGGGGAGGUUCGGUGAGGCGGCACUACCGUUGAGGGUGUCAAUUAGGUCUAGGUUGGAGGGCGGCGGGCGCCAUGCUAGGUGAGGAAGGAGGUGGGCGGCUGUUGGAUUGAUUUCCAACGGUUGGGUUGAAUCAACUUAGAAUUAGAUAAAAGGAAAUUGUUUUAUAAGUUCUCAUUGAUUACAUCUCAUCGUCGUUUUUUUAGAGUGAGGAUAUCAUGUAAUUAAGCUUUUUUUAUUUUGUGAAAAACAUACUUUGAUUAUCCGUAUUUUAAAUUGUAGGGUUCCAUCGUACAAUUCACACAGAGACCCCUGGUUUGUAGAUACCGCCCUGGACGUUCCAAACCCAGGUUUUCAUUUUUGCAUUUUGCACAUGCAUACUAACUUUUCUAGAUAUACUUCCCCCAAAAGAAAACUUUUCUAGAUAUAUACAGCCUACACGUUUGUUAAUUUGCCAUCUUAGUUGCGGUUCUCGUUAACCACAAGCCAGGCAAAGGGCGCGUGCGAGACACUCAGGUGGCGGCGGGAAGGUGCACCGAAGCUUCCUGCGCCCGAACAAAUCUAUCUCCCCGGCCAACCAACUUUGUCGCGCAGGUAGUUGAGGCUGUGUCUUUUUCCUCUUUUGCCUUUUCAGUGAGGAAGUUCAAGCUUUGGUUUGGAAGCAUGCAGAUAGAUAGACGGCUGCAU